GGGAUGGGAGGCAAAAAAAUUGCUCAGGCAGAGUUCUGUUCUACUAAUUACUCACCAAGACGUGAGUAAGACCAUUUUUGUAAGCAAUGAAUUGGCUCAUUUAGAAUUCCUUUGUUUUCAUUUUUAGAAAAAAGAAAGAGGAAGAAAGAAGAAAGUCAAAAGGAUGAAAGAACAAAAGCAGCUCCACAUAGAAAGAUAGACUCUUUUGCCAGCACAUUUAAGAAUCUAAAUGAGGCCAAGUGCCACGCAGAUAGAGGGACUCUGCCUGCUGCAUAGUAAAUAAAACGGAGGUGGGGGAAGCAUGCAUCAAACAAUACUUUCCGAGGGGACAACAACAAGGCUUAAGAGAAUUCAGACCCUGAGUUUCCUGCCUCACCAGGUACAGCCCAAGUCACCAGAGCUCAUAAAAGAUGUGUGUGCUGUCGCAUCUAUGUGAAGUAUUUCCAUGACCCGGGCAUUGACUGAGGGACUGUGCUGGAGGAAGCUGGAUCAAGGUACCAAGGUGAGUCAAAAGUCCUUUAUAUAAAACAUGAAUGGAAAUAUAAGUGCAUGCCCAUGUGUAUGGAUCCCAGACUUACAUGGCACCAAUUGACCUACUCACUCUGUAAUCA
Molecule: long non-coding RNA, 611 nt
Filed under: Aotus nancymaae (Ma's night monkey)
Lineage: Eukaryota; Metazoa; Chordata; Mammalia; Primates; Aotidae
Description: lncRNA (ENSANAG00000039273.1)
Source: RNAcentral